GACGAACGCUGGCGGCGUGCCUAAUACAUGCAAGUCGAACGAGAGCGACCGGUGCGUGCACUGGUCAAUCUAGUGGCGAACGGGUGAGUAACACGUGGGUAACCUGCCCAUCAGAGGGGGAUAACAUUCGGAAACGGAUGCUAAAACCGCAUAGGUCUUCGAACCGCAUGGUUUGAAGAGGAAAAGAGGCGCAAGCUUCUGCUGAUGGAUGGACCCGCGGUGCAUUAGCUAGUUGGUGAGGUAACGGCUCACCAAGGCCGUGAUGCAUAGCCGACCUGAGAGGGUGAUCGGCCACAUUGGGACUGAGACACGGCCCAAACUCCUACGGGAGGCAGCAGUAGGGAAUCUUCCGCAAUGGACGCAAGUCUGACGGAGCAACGCCGCGUGAGUGAAGAAGGUGUUCGGAUCGUAAAACUCUGUUGUUAGAGAAGAAUAAGUGCUAGAGUAACUGUUAGCGCCUUGACGGUAUCUAACCAGAAAGCCACGGCUAACUACGUG
This 498-nucleotide ribosomal RNA is filed under the name uncultured bacterium. RNAcentral's name for it is "partial 16S ribosomal RNA". It matches the Rfam family "Bacterial small subunit ribosomal RNA", at positions 28 to 507 of the family's 1533-position model. The record is from RNAcentral.